This 72-nucleotide transfer RNA is filed under the name Salmo salar (Atlantic salmon). It matches the Rfam family "tRNA". Rfam says of the family: Transfer RNA (tRNA) molecules are approximately 80 nucleotides in length. Their secondary structure includes four short double-helical elements and three loops (D, anti-codon, and T loops). The record is from Rfam by way of RNAcentral. Lineage: Eukaryota; Metazoa; Chordata; Actinopteri; Salmoniformes; Salmonidae.
GGGGGUAUAGCUCAGUGGUAGAGCAUUUGACUGCAGGUCAAGAGGUCCCAGGUUCAAAUCGUAGUAACCCCU